Molecule: ribosomal RNA, 497 nt
Filed under: uncultured bacterium
Lineage: Bacteria
Description: partial 16S ribosomal RNA
Rfam family: Bacterial small subunit ribosomal RNA
Source: RNAcentral
GAUGGACGCUGGCGGCGUGCCUAAUACAUGCAAGUCGAGCGAACGGACGAGAAGCUUGCUUCUCUAAUGUUAGCGGCGGACGGGUGAGUAACACGUGGAUAACCUACCUAUAAGACUGGGAUAACUUCGGGAAACCGUAGCUAAUACCGGAUAAUAUUUUGAACCGCAUGGUUCAAAAGUGAAAGACGGUCUUGCUGUCACUUAUAGAUGGAUCCGCGCUGCAUUAGCUAGUUGGUAAGGUAACGGCUUACCAAGGCAACGAUGCAUAGCCGACCUGAGAGGGUGAUCGGCCACACUGGAACUGAGACACGGUCCAGACUCCUACGGGAGGCAGCAGUAGGGAAUCUUCCGCAAUGGGCGAAAGCCUGACGGAGCAACGCCGCGUGAGUGAUGAAGGUCUUCGGAUCGUAAAACUCUGUUAUUAGGGAAGAACAUAUGUGUAAGUAACUGUGCACAUCUUGACGGUACCUAAUCAGAAAGCCACGGCUAACUACGUG